RNAcentral lists this ribosomal RNA (995 nucleotides) under uncultured bacterium. RNAcentral describes it as "bacterial SSU rRNA". It matches the Rfam family "Bacterial small subunit ribosomal RNA", at positions 356 to 1376 of the family's 1533-position model. The record is from RNAcentral.
GGGGAAUAUUGCACAAUGGGCGAAAGCCUGAUGCAGCGACGCCGCGUGAGCGAAGAAGUAUUUCGGUAUGUAAAGCUCUAUCAGCAGGGAAGAUAAUGACGGUACCUGACUAAGAAGCACCGGCUAAAUACGUGCCAGCAGCCGCGGUAAUACGUAGGUCACAAGCGUUGUCCGGAAUUACUGGGUGUAAAGGGAGCGCAGGCGGGAAGACAAGUUGGAAGUGAAAUCCAUGGGCUCAACCCAUGAACUGCUUUCAAAACUGUUUUUCUUGAGUAGUGCAGAGGUAGGCGGAAUUCCCGGUGUAGCGGUGGAAUGCGUAGAUAUCGGGAGGAACACCAGUGGCGAAGGCGGCUUGCUGGACGACAACUGACGCUGAGGCGCGAAAGCGUGGGGAGCAAACAGGAUUAGAUACCCUGGUAGUCCACGCUGUAAACGAUGAAUACUAGGUGUGGGAGGACUGACCCCUUCCGUGCCGCAGUUAACACAAUAAGUAUUCCACCUGGGGAGUACGACCGCAAGGUUGAAACUCAAAGGAAUUGACGGGGGCCCGCACAAGCAGUGGAGUAUGUGGUUUAAUUCGACGCAACGCGAAGAACCUUACCAAGUCUUGACAUCCCUUGACGAUGCUGGAAACAGCAUUUCUCUUCGGAGCAAGGAGACAGGUGGUGCAUGGUUGUCGUCAGCUCGUGUCGUGAGAUGUUGGGUUAAGUCCCGCAACGAGCGCAACCCUUAUGGUCAGUUACUACGCAAGAGGACUCUGGCCAGACUGCCGUUGACAAAACGGAGGAAGGUGGGGAUGACGUCAAAUCAUCAUGCCCUUUAUGACUUGGGCUACACACGUACUACAAUGGCGUUAAACAAAGAGAAGCAAGACCGCGAGGUGGAGCAAAACUCAGAAACAACGUCCCAGUUCGGACUGCAGGCUGCAACUCGCCUGCACGAAGUCGGAAUUGCUAGUAAUCGUGGAUCAGCAUGCCACGGUGAAUACGUUCCCG